RNAcentral lists this ribosomal RNA (253 nucleotides) under uncultured bacterium. RNAcentral's name for it is "partial 16S ribosomal RNA". It matches the Rfam family "Bacterial small subunit ribosomal RNA", at positions 524 to 776 of the family's 1533-position model. The record is from RNAcentral.
UACGAAGGGGGCUAGCGUUGCUCGGAAUCACUGGGCGUAAAGCGCACGUAGGCGGGUCGUUAAGUCGGGGGUGAAAUCCUGGAGCUCAACUCCAGAACUGCCUUCGAUACUGGCGAUCUUGAGUCUGGGGGAGGUGAGUGGAACUCCGAGUGUAGAGGUGAAAUUCGUAGAUAUUCGGAAGAACACCAGUGGCGAAGGCGGCUCACUGGCCCGGUACUGACGCUGAGGUGCGAAAGCGUGGGGAGCAAACAGG